CGAUUCAAAUCAAAAUGUUUUCCUUUUUCUUUUAUUUUUCAUUCCUUUAAACUGUUUCUGUAUGAAAUUCUCUUAAGAUUCAUAAGUGUUUCAUUCUCUACGAUAGUUAUAGGAUCCGUCUGCCCAAUUUGCACUGCAAUUAGUCCUUUGGUCAGUACCUGUUAUAUUCGGAGGAGCCGCAUGGUGAUUGUGGCGGCCGAUGAACGGUGGUUCGUUGAAUUCCUGGUUUACCUACUUUUUCCGUGGUGCUGUGCUCUUUUCUCUCCAUCACGUUUGCUGUAGGUUAUGGUGUUUUACUGAUGUUUCAUGGCCCAUGACGAAAAGGAUUACUGCCUACAACACGUGAUAACGUUACCCCUGACAAACAAUGUUCUAGAUGCCAUGUCUGACAUUUUGUGCAGCUGCGCGUUUGCUUUACACGGAUUGAAUGAAUGCUAUCUGCACUGCCAUUAAAUACAUGCAUGUGUAAGUCUUUCACAUCGUAAUUGUCCUCAUCGUGACAAAGGCUGGAUUUAGUAUCAAUUUAUGUUACUUAAUUAGGAUGUCCUGUUGUCAGAUAGGUGUUGGCUAUUCACAAACUUGUCAAAGUGAAUAAGAAGCUUUUCAAUACAAGUCAAAGGAAAUAUAUCCUCUCAAUCUUGUCCGUGCUCCAUAGGUUUAGCUCCAUAAAUAGAGCCUAAUAGUCAGGUUGAUGAAAAGUGUGAUUUAACCAUCAGUAAGCUACCUAUAUAUGUUUACAAAAUAUAUUUAACCAAAUAUGUGCGGAUUCUUCGAUACUAGGAUCUGCAUCUGUAUUAGGUGCUAAAGAAUCAGGAAAAUGUGUGGAAAGAUGUGUUAUAUGCCCAAUACACUAUAUCUAACUCAAAAACAGCAGCCUAUGAAUGAAUUUGUUAACAGCAUGUUUUGCGUAUAUUUAAUUCCUCAUUUUCUUAU
Long non-coding RNA from Gossypium raimondii (Peruvian cotton), 933 nucleotides. RefSeq lists it as uncharacterized. The record is from RefSeq and is a predicted model, not a curated record. The transcript has 2 exons. Lineage: Eukaryota; Viridiplantae; Streptophyta; Magnoliopsida; Malvales; Malvaceae.